Molecule: ribosomal RNA, 405 nt
Filed under: uncultured bacterium
Lineage: Bacteria
Description: partial 16S ribosomal RNA
Rfam family: Bacterial small subunit ribosomal RNA
Source: RNAcentral
GAUGAACGCUAGCUACAGGCUUAACACAUGCAAGUCGAGGGACCGGCGCACGGGUGAGUAACACGUAUCCAACCUGCCCUUUACUCGGGGAUAGCCUUUCGAAAGAACGAUUAAUACCCGAUAUAAAGGAUGGGGAUGCGUUCCAUUAGGUUGUUGGUGAGGUAACGGCUCACCAAGCCUUCGAUGGAUAGGGGUUCUGAGAGGAAGGACCACAACAUUGGAACUGAGACACGGUCCAAACUCCUGCGGGCGGCAGGAGUGAGGAAAAUUGGUCAAUGGGCGCUAGCCUGAACCAGCCAAGUAGCGUGAAAGAUGAAGGCUUAUGGGUCUUAAACUUCUUGUAUAUAAGAAUAUGAAUUAUAUGAAUAAGGAUCGGCUAACUCCGUGCAAGAAGCCGCGGUAAAG